Molecule: transfer RNA, 66 nt
Filed under: Anotogaster sieboldii
Lineage: Eukaryota; Metazoa; Arthropoda; Insecta; Odonata; Cordulegastridae
Description: tRNA-Ala
Source: RNAcentral
AGGAUAAUAGUUAACUAUAACAUUUGAUUUGCAUUCAAAAAGUAUUGAAAUAUUCAAUUUAUCUUA